This 790-nucleotide ribosomal RNA is filed under the name uncultured Acidobacteriota bacterium. Its description in RNAcentral is "bacterial SSU rRNA". It matches the Rfam family "Bacterial small subunit ribosomal RNA", at positions 37 to 861 of the family's 1533-position model. The record is from RNAcentral. Lineage: Bacteria; Pseudomonadati; Acidobacteriota.
UGGCGGCGUGCCUAACACAUGCAAGUCGAACGAGAAAGUGGAGCAAUCCAUGAGUACAGUGGCGUACGGGUGAGUAACACGUGACUAACCUACCCUCGAGUGGGGAAUAACCUCGGGAAACCGGGGCUAACACCGCAUAACAUCUGAUCAAAUGCGCAAGCAGCUUGAGGAGGGGGUCGCGGCCGAUUAGCUAGUUGGCGGGGUAAUGGCCCACCAAGGCAAUGAUCGGUAGCCGGCCUGAGAGGGCGCACGGCCACACUGGAACUGAAACACGGUCCAGACUCCUACGGGAGGCAGCAGUGGGGAAUUUUGCGCAAUGGGGGAAACCCUGACGCAGCAACGCCGCGUAGAGGAUGAAGCCCUUUGGGGCGUAAACUCCUUUCGAUCGGGACGAUUAUGACGGUACCGGAUGAAGAAGCACCGGCUAACUCUGUGCCAGCAGCCGCGGUAAUACAGAGGGUGCAAGCGUUGUUCGGAAUUAUUGGGCGUAAAGGGCGCGUAGGCGGUGCGGUAAGUCUGCGGUGAAAUCUCCGGGCUCAACUCGGAGUCUGCCGCGGAAACUGCCGUGCUGGAGUGUGGGAGAAGUGAGUGGAAUUCCCGGUGUAGCGGUGAAAUGCGUAGAUAUCGGGAGGAACGCCUGUGGCGAAAGCGGCUCACUGGACCACAACUGACGCUGAGGCGCGAAAGCUAGGGGAGCGAACAGGAUUAAGUACCCUGGUAGUCCCAGCCCUAAACUAUGAUCGCUUGGUGUGACAGGUACCCAAUCCUGUCGUGCCGGAGCUAACGCGUU